GUGCAGCAGUCGAGAAACCUCCGCAAUACACGAAAGUGUGACGGGGCCAUCCCGAGUGCCGUCCGCUGAGGACGGCUUUUCCCCAGUGUACACAGCUGGGGGAAUAAGGAGAGGGCAAGCCUGGUGUCAGCCGCCGCGGUAAUACCAGCUCUCCGAGUGGUGGGGACGCUUAUUGGGCCUAAAGCAUCCGUAGCCGGCUGGGCAAGUCCUCCGUUAAAUCCAACGAUUCAAUCGUUGGGCUGCGGGGGAUACUGUCCAGCUUGGGGGCGGGAGAGGCCGACGGUAUUCCCGGGGUAGGGUGAAAUCCUAUAAUCCCGGGAGGACCACCAGUGGCGAAGGCUGUCGGCUAGAACGCGCCCGACGGUGAGGGAUGAAAGCGUGGGGGGAGCGAACCGGAUUAGAUACCCCUGUAGU
This 414-nucleotide ribosomal RNA is filed under the name uncultured microorganism. RNAcentral describes it as "bacterial SSU rRNA". It matches the Rfam family "Archaeal small subunit ribosomal RNA", at positions 330 to 745 of the family's 1478-position model. The record is from RNAcentral.